RNAcentral lists this ribosomal RNA (266 nucleotides) under uncultured bacterium. RNAcentral describes it as "partial 16S ribosomal RNA". It matches the Rfam family "Bacterial small subunit ribosomal RNA", at positions 793 to 1055 of the family's 1533-position model. The record is from RNAcentral.
GUCCACGCUGUAAACGAUGGCCACUCGGCCUUUGGUGGCGGAAUCUCCGUCCGUGGGGGCCUUAGCUAACGCGGGAAGUGGCCCGCCUGGGAACUACGAGCGCAAGCUUAAAACUCAAAGGAAUUGACGGGGGCCCGCACAAGCAGCGGAGCGUGUGGUUUAAUUCGACGCAACGCGCAGAACCUUACCCAGGUUGGACAUGCCCCUGCAAGCUGCGGAAACGCAGUCGCCUUCGAGGGUGGGCACAGAUGCUGCAUGGCUGUCGU